GACGAACGCUGGCGGCGUGCUUAACACAUGCAAGUCGAACGAUGAAGCCGGAGCUUGCUCUGGUGAAUUAGUGGCGAACGGGUGAGUAACACGUGAGUAACCUGCCCUUGACUCUGGGAUAACUGCUAGAAAUGGUAGCUAAUACCGGAUACGACCCUCGGAGGCAUCUUCAGGGGGUGGAAAGAAUUUCGGUCAAGGAUGGACUCGCGGCCUAUCAGCUAGUUGGUGAGGUAACGGCUCACCAAGGCGACGACGGGUAGCCGGCCUGAGAGGGUGACCGGCCACACUGGGACUGAGACACGGCCCAGACUCCUACGGGAGGCAGCAGUGGGGAAUAUUGCACAAUGGGCGCAAGCCUGAUGCAGCAACGCCGCGUGAGGGAUGACGGCCUUCGGGUUGUAAACCUCUUUUAGUAGGGAAGAAGCGAAAGUGACGGUACCUGCAGAAAAAGCACCGGCUAACUACGUGCCAGCAGCCGCAGUAA
This 484-nucleotide ribosomal RNA is filed under the name uncultured bacterium. RNAcentral describes it as "partial 16S ribosomal RNA". It matches the Rfam family "Bacterial small subunit ribosomal RNA", at positions 28 to 523 of the family's 1533-position model. The record is from RNAcentral.